UGACCUCAAUCAGGUAGGACUACCCGCUGA
RNAcentral lists this ribosomal RNA (30 nucleotides) under Cystolepiota cystophora. RNAcentral's name for it is "partial 28S ribosomal RNA". Lineage: Eukaryota; Fungi; Basidiomycota; Agaricomycetes; Agaricales; Agaricaceae. The record is from RNAcentral.